Molecule: ribosomal RNA, 480 nt
Filed under: Hyriopsis desowitzi
Lineage: Eukaryota; Metazoa; Mollusca; Bivalvia; Unionida; Unionidae
Description: partial large subunit ribosomal RNA
Rfam family: Bacterial large subunit ribosomal RNA
Source: RNAcentral
CGUCUUUUGCAAACCCCCAUAAAAGAUAAUGCCUGCCCAGUGAAUUUUUAAACGGCCGCGUUAGCGUGAGCGUGCUAAGGUAGCGUAAUAAUUAGCCUCUUAAUUGGAGGCCAGUGAAAGGCAACACCGGGAAUACCUGUACUUUAUAUGUUAAAAAACUUUCUCUCUAAGUGAAAAAUCUUAGAUAGUAAUGGAAGACGAAAAGACCCCGCGGAACUUUACCUUUUCUCUAGACUUUCCGCACAUAAAUAGGUAACAAGGUUUGAUUGGGGCAAUCUCGGAACCACCCAAGCUUCCGACUUUUUUAACAAACAUCAAAAAUUUGUUAUGGACCAAAGAGAAGUUACCCCGGGGAUAACAGCGUUAUCCAACUUGAGAGUACACAUCGAAAGUUGGGUUUGCGACCUCGAUGUUGGCUUAAGGACAUCCACAUUAGUGCAGCCGCUAUGAAUGGACAGUCUGUUCGACUAUUAUACCCUU